AGCGGAGGAAAAGAAACUACCAAGGAUUCCCCUAGUAACUGCGAGUGAAGCGGGAAAAGCUCAAAUUUGGAAUCUGGCAGUCUCUUUUUUUCUUCCUUGGCUGUCCGAGUUGUAAUCUAGAGAAGUGCUUACCCGUUCUGGACCAUGUAUAAGUCUCCUGGAAUGGAGCCUCAUAGAGGGUGAGAAUCCCGUCUUUGACAUGGACUGCCAGUGCGUUGUGGUGUGCUCUCAAAGAGUCGAGUUGUUUGGGAAUGCAGCUCUAAAUGGGUGGUAAACUCCAUCUAAAGCUAAAUAUUGGCGAGAGACCGAUAGUGAACAAGUACCGUGAGGGAAAGAUGAAAAGGACUUUGGAAAGAGAGUUAAACAGUAUGUGAAAUUGUUGAAAGGGAAACGCUCGAAGUCAGUUAUGUCGGCUAGGGAUCAGCCUUGCACUCUUUUGCCAGGUGAACUUCCUUGUCUGACAGGCCAACAUCAGUUUUGACUGCCAGAAAAGGGCAGAGGGAAUGUGGCACCUUUUGGGUGUGUUAUAGCCUUUUGUCAUAUGUGGUGGUAGGGACUGAGGGAAGCAGCGUGCCGUGAGGCCGGGUUUCGACCACGUUCACGCUUGGGAUGUUGGCUUUUAAUGGCUUUGAUCGACCCGUCUUGAAACACGGACCAAGGAGUCUAACAUGGGUGCAAGUGUUCGGGUGGUGAAAACCCUUGCGCACAAUGAAAGUGAAAGUUGAGAUCCCUGUCGCGGGGAGCAUCGACGCCCAGACCUGAGCUUUCAGCAAUGGAUCUGCGGUAGAGCAUGCAUGUUGGGACCCGAAAGAUGGUGAACUAUGCCUGAAUAGGGCAAAGCCAGAGGAAACUCUGGUGGAGGCUCGUAGCGAUUCUGACGUGCAAAUCGAUCGUCGAAUUUGGGUAUAGGGGGCGAAAGACUAAUCGACC
RNAcentral lists this ribosomal RNA (930 nucleotides) under Amanita sp. RNAcentral's name for it is "partial large subunit ribosomal RNA". It matches the Rfam family "Eukaryotic large subunit ribosomal RNA", at positions 49 to 941 of the family's 3401-position model. Lineage: Eukaryota; Fungi; Basidiomycota; Agaricomycetes; Agaricales; Amanitaceae. The record is from RNAcentral.